GAUGAGGGGGUUCUUUGCUUAUUUUUUCUUAAGGCAAAUAUCUCUUCCAUUAUCGAGGGAAGAGGCAGCAUCGCUUCUGCAGUGGUGCGAAGCGUGUCUGUUGCUAGAAAUGCCUCUCACUUUGUUCCUGAAAAGUGUGCCAGAUGCACUGGAAAGCUCGCACUGCUUUAAUUAUGUAAUGCGAUGGCGAGGGGGGGGGUAGAGGGGGGAGGGGGGGGUGCUCUGUCCCUGGUGCAGCCGAUUUGGCUAAAUUUGCUGUGCUGUGCUGCAGAAACUAUGUGCUCGUUUGUCCCGCUGGCAGAACAGAGGGGCCUCUCCUUGCUGCUGCAUCCCUGCUCCCCGAGGAUGCAGCUCAGAGACCCCAUUGCCCUCAGUGUGCCCUGUGCUCAGCUCGACCCCAGUUAGCCAAAGGGCUGGGGGCUUCACAUCCCACGCUGAGGGACCAGCCUUGUGCUGCCAGGCUCACACCGAUUGCAGCAGGAGCUCUCUGCUCUGCUACAGCCCAGCCCCAGGCACAGGAAUGGGAGCACGGAACCCUCACUGCGAGCAAAUGACAGUGAGUUAAUGGGGUAAACCCCGUGGGCAGGGGCUGGGGAGCUUCCCACCCUGCAGUCAGGUCUGCUUCUGUUACAAAGAGUUCCUAAAAAGUAAUAAAUAGAGCAGAGAGCAAACAAAUGUUUCCCUAAAUGGGACCACGCUGCUCUUCUCAGCUGCCCGAGGAACAGAAUGUUUUGAUGAAAUCAAUGAUGAUGCAUACCAAACAAUUGUACUCUUAACCAGCUGCCACCUUAUUUCCUGCCGUGUCGAUCUCUUCAGGCACAAGCACUUUCUCUUCCUUAGGAACAACAGAUUUGCUUGAGGAGAAUCGUCAAAAAUACUCGGUGAAUAAUUUCUAUGAAUCAGCGCUGUCCUAAGAGAAAGCAGCACUCGUAACCAGAAAGCAAACUGUCUGGAGACAGCGCUGGGAGGGCUGCAGUGCUGCCCUGCUGCUUUCCUCUCAAAGGGCCGGUCGGUCCCCCUGCCUUCUCCAUACACACAGCACACGGCAGGCACAGAGCUCGGCCCCUGGGAUGGGGCAUGGGGACCCUUUGCCCUCUCCCUGUGUGCUCUCUCCUCUGUAGAAGCUGCUGGUGGCACACAGAGGCCUCUGCCGCACCGAGUGAGGUUCACACAGUCUCGGGAGCUUUAAUUAGAACCAUGCUGCAUGCAGUGCUUUCGGAGCUUCUCCAAUUUAUUAGUUAUGAUUUAAAGCAAAGACAAAACAACAGGAAAAUAUUUCGGCUUUGCUAGUUAAACAGCGUGUGGUGGUACAGGGCAAUAAACAUUAAAAAUAAAUACAUAAGGGAAUGUCCACGGUAUGGCAGUGCCCACCUGGCGCUGUGUGGGGCUGCAUUGUGAGCAGAGCCCCAUCUGCUGGGUCACUGCCAUCACACAGAGGUGCCAUGUGCCUGGCUGGGAUGGGGAAAACACCGCACCCAGGUACAGGGAGGUUCACAAGCAGAUACUGGUGCUCUGACAACGUUUUCUUCCCAGUUUAGUCCUCCCUUUCAUCAGCACGGCAGAAAAAGAGACUGCUGCAAGCCCCGCAUUGACAGCAGUCAUUUAAACUGUUGCUGGGACAAGGUGACAGAUUGUAGCAUUCAGGCUGUAGCUUUCAGGCUGUAGCUUUCAGUCUGUAGCUCACAGCACCAUGGCUGUGCAGUUUGUUCAGCCUGUUUCGUGGCUCAGAGGUGUGCACCCAGCCGCACACUGCCAGCUCUGCUGGUCACAGUUGCUCUCUUUGAAGUUCAGGUGUUUGUCGGCACGUGUGUCUCUGGCUUUGCUUCCUAAAGCCCACCAAGAUAGAGGCUGGGAGUGCAGUGCGGUGCUGCGUUCUCCUCCCGGCUGCUGCCAGAAACAACACGGCUGCUCUGAACGAGGAGCGUGGGACGGGACGGUGCCUGCACUGUGAGGGGCAGCCCACACCAGCGUGCUCUGUGCAUUAUUACAGCACCUUGGUUGGGGCAGCCCUGAGACUAAGAGGGGAAGUUAAAAUAGGUGCAGCCGUGGCUGUCUCUGAUGGACGGGGAUCGGAGCGCAAAGUGAAACAGGGAUGCAGCAGAAACUGGGUUACGUGGCUCUGAGUAAACGCUCUCCCGUCGGAGCAGGAUUUGUUUUACAUCACUGCUCUAGUUCUUGUCCUGAGGAUGUUUAACUCACCCAGAGCUGUUUGGCCUCCAGGAUGGAUUCCUACAAUUACGUGUUUAUGAUUGCGAGCUCUGCCACGGGAAGCAGCAGGAGGAGAUCAUUUCGGGAGUGCUGGGAGGCACGGAGGGAGCUGGAGAGCCUUCUCCUGGGCUUCAGCCACUGCUACACUUCGGAGGGAGGCUGUGGUGUGUUUCGGGCCUGACGUGCUGCUGCAUUUAGCAGCAUGAAUAACAAGGCAUCAGAUGGGUGUUACUGCAUCGCCGUGACUUUAAACUUCAUCCACAUAGUGACAUGCAGGCUGGGCUGUGUGCAGUGCUCACCUCAGACAUGUUUUCAGACCACUCACAGCAGGCAGUGAACACAGCCUGACUUGAGGCCCCAUGGCUGCAGGCCUGCAGGGCUGGGCAUGGCCUCCCACAGCCCCACACAUGCCACACAACCUCAGUGACUUGCCCAGCUCCUGCCUGCUGCCCCAAGGAUGCUCGGGGCACCUCUGUGGUGCAGAGCCUGAGGACUCCCAACUGUGGGAGCUCCGGCUGGGACCAUCCACCACCGAGGCCGGACCGCGGGCAUCUAUCUCAGCCAUCUGCCUGCAGCCCCACACCAGAUGUGGCUCAAAGUCCUCAGAUGCCCUCUGCUGCCAUGGACCAGAAUUAACAGAUGUCUCCGUGUAACCGGGUUUAGAUUUGCUGAAGUUUGCUAUUAUCUCCGCAUUUGUAAAUGGAUGGGGGAGGGGAAAUAAUAUCUGGGAUUAUUACAAAACAGGCAGAGCUUUAUAAAAAGUGUUAAGUCUGGGGCUGGGUCCCUUCUGACUGUGAAUGCCAUUGUCCCAUAUUUCAAAAUGUUAACACUAUUUUUAGCUUUCUCUUCAGAGCUCCCUCCCCUGACAGCUUAUCCCUCUGGGUAUGAGUUUGGCCCAGUGAGCCGCCCAGGACACGGCACACUUUGCCCCAGCAUUUCGGGCCCUACUGCGUCUGAUGGAACCAACUCUGCUGCUGUGGCUGGGCUCUGCUCAGGCACUGAGGGACACAUUCGGCUGCCUGGUCCCUCUGCAUCACACAGGCAGAAGAAAAAUACUUUGAUGUUUACUGCCGUCUCAACUGGAACACCUGUAAACUGGGCAGGACCAUGCUGAAGACUCAAGCUGUGCAGAGAGAGCAGUAACAGUGUGCAAGCUGCGGCUCUCACACAUCCAUCCCGACGUGCCUGUACCAGAGUGCUUAUAGGAGGAGCAAAGAGGACCUGAGCUCGGGUUGUCUGUGAGAACAGCCACCUGCUCCCACAGGGCACGUCUGUAGUUCUGGAUAAGAACAUUCCUGAUGUCAGGAGGACUGGCUUACAGCCGUGCCAACAUGGUUCUCCCUAGGGCUCCUCCUGCUUCCCCACCCUGGACUCUGUGGUACUGUCAUGGUACCCUGUGGGUCCAAUGUGGAAUGAUGUGUUUUUAUCUUUCUUUCUGUUCAGAACACCUGAAAUGAGGUGAAAUCACUCCGCAGCCUCCAAGAAUGAUGCUUCCUUAGUGUGAGUGUGAGGUACAUGUGUGUUCUGGGGUGUGGUAAUGCCUGAGUGUGCGCAGCCAUCUUGGGUUGCUCUGGGCAGACACAGCAAGGCCUGGCCUCGGGAGUGGGCCCUUCACUGCUGGGGGGAACCAGCUGGGAGAAGUCAGGAGAGAGCUGAGGGGAACGUGGUGAAGCAGCGUGGGUGCUUUUGGUAUCAAAGAGCUGAUUAAACAAAAGGAGGUGAGAGAUUAAAAUCCUAUAGACAAUUAUUAAGCGUGUGCGUUACUGCAUACAGAGAACAAAAACCAGGAAGUUAGAGAAGGCAAAACACGUUGCUUCAUUUGCUCAGCAAGAGAAAACUGCUUAGCCUUUAAAAUAUUUUGCUGACUUUCUCAACUUUUCAUUCAGGACUUCUGUAUGUGGACUGCAUGCUGCUAAAGGUUUGCAGGAACAGCAGAAAAGCAGCUUUCACCUUUAAGCAGAGCACUUCUGUGUUCUUCUCUCUGUUCUCAAACUGUUGCCCAACCCUCCCAACUCAAUCGACUAAAACUAAUUCCCAAACACGAGAAAACUACUUCUGUUUGCUAUGAUAAAGGCAGCUGAAUCUCCACUGCCCUUCAAAGAGGAGUGAGAAGCACCUCCAGAAAACAACGCGUGGCUUAUUCCAGGCAUUGGUUUUUUAAUGGGAUUUACUGCCUUGUUGAGGUACUUUGUACUGACUGUAAGGUGAGUCCAUGACAGUUAACGCGGGUUUAGAUGUCUAAUUAAUUUAGGUGUCUAAUUAGCAGUUGCCUCAAUGUUAAGAAACAAGUCUCGCUCUUAUACAUUGUAGGUCCACAAUGAGUCUGAACUUUAUUCUAGUUAUUCUAUUCUAAAAUAAUAAUAAUAAUAAUAAUAAUAAUAAUAAUAAUAAUAAUAAUAAUAAUAAUAAUAAUAAUAAUAAUAAUAAUAAUUCUUAUUAAGUGGCCUCUGAGUUGAUUUAUUCUGUGGUAGUAUUAAAGUGAAACACACGUCCUCCAUGACAGAAGAGGAAUGCAGCCUGCACAGCCUAUGUCUGCUUGAUCAUAUAACCUUGUACUGUUUUUCAGCAUGGAACGAGCAUGUGGGUAACUGUAACAGCACACCACGAAAACCGGAAUAACUGAGAAAGGCAGCGUCGACAUCAAGCAUAAACUACUAUUGUGAUACAUUAUAGAGCUGCAGCAGAGAUGUCGUGGUGACACAGAAUUCGGAGAUGUCAGGUGAAAUCCAGGCCUUCCCAAUAGCUGGCUUUUCCAUGGGGCUGAAUGGUGGCAUAGGGGUUGGGGGGAUGGGGUGGGGAACCACUCCCUCCAUUCUUGUCUGGAGGAACUGGAGCAUACAGACAUGAAACUCGUCCAAUGGGCACAUUUGGCAGUGCUGUACUAUUGACUCCAUUUUUCAAAACCACAAGGGUUGGGUGGGUUGCUUUUUUCCUUGUUUAAUAAGCGUGAAGAAAGAUACAUCUCUGAUACGUUCAAAAAGUCUAAUAGUUCAAAGUGAACAAGAAAGUGCUAGAACAGAACCUUUGACCCGCUGAAUCCAAGCACUUUUAGACCUCCCAGGAAAUAUCUUAUUCUUCAGUACUUGCAAAUUUAGUUAAAUAACAGCUGGUGCGUGUCUCUCAUAGCGUUAAGUCCCGCGAUUCAGAUCUAUGCAUCAUCUCUGGCUUCGGACAAAUCCAGGAGAGUCACUGUGCAAGAUUGCCUCCCGGUGGUGGUACCACGAACCUGCAGAAUUCGCUCACAGAAAAGGCAAAAAACCUGUUUAAGAACAGCGCUUCCUUGUUGAAUUCAGGUCUAAGUAACUCGACUUAGAGUUACAUACAUUUCAGUGCGAUUUUAACAGCCUGAAUUGAGGAUAAACCUUUCGACAGGUGAGUGAAGCAGAGCUUUCUAGUGGAACAGCAUGCUAACAAGGAAAGCUCAAAGAGACUUUCUGUACAACAUUUAAAAGAGUUAAUAGUCACUAAGAGGUACCCAAUUGCACACUGUCCGCAGCAAUGAGCCUCCCAAAGCCUGGAACAAUAACUAUGAAGCACAAGGCAGAUGGCCAAGAGCACUAACAAAAACACUACAGCAGGUUUCCCAUUCCACCAAUUCCAUUUGUAACUCACAUUCUCAGUCAAGAAGUUAGCAGAAGAGAAGAAAAAAAAGGCAACAGAAAGUCCCAAACUACCUUUCAAACUGAUUGCUCUUUUAGGUAAAAGCAGGAAAAGACUCCAGCAGAUGGAUUUCCAAUUCCAAGUCUUCAAGUGAAGAGAAACACACAGUUAAAGACAGCUUUACAUAGCUGUUCAAGACGAUGAAAAGCAGGAGGACAACUUUAACUUACUGUGGGAAUAGGAGUAUAGUUGGGUCACGCUUCAGAUGACCCAGACGAAAGAUUUAGUGUAAGAAAACAGAAAUAUUGGCAGCACAGUGCAAGGAGAGAUUUUUAAACACCCAUUUCAUGGAUGAACGUAACAACGAAUUGGCAGAGGGUACAUGCAGUGAGCGUGUGUCAGACUCGCUCAGUUCCCAGUAACUGCUCAGAAAAGGUAAGUGCUUUAAACCAGAUAGCAGUCCCACACAUAACAGACUUCUAGUCCUCCAGAUACCUGAGGAGCACUCAAAAACAUUGGGGGAAAAGGUGAGAAAUGUAGCAGCAUUUCUGCAGUGACUGCGGAUGAUUAACUGGCAAGUUUGACAGGCAAGAACAGGCAAAUGUAGUAAUACUGUGAUAACAAAAGGCUGCUGCAAAGGAAAACAACAGCACAGUGCAGGCAGAAGGAGUGUGGAGGGAUAAAUAGUUGAGAGCUGAACCCAAGAAAGAGCAUCUUUUCUUCAAAUGGACUGAAAUCAAGCAGGGACAAAUCAGGUCUCAGCUUCCCAAAAACAAUGGUGGUUCAGUUUCACCAUGGUGAAAUUAAUUAAAAGCAGUCAAGGAAAACAAGUUAUUAAGUAACUCUAGAAAAAGCUGAUGUACUUCACACUAAAAUGUCCAGAAUUAGAGACUUUAUAUGGUACUCAUCUCCUAGCAAAACAUACAGAUAACACAAGCAGGCAAAACUACACUAGAUGAAUGCAAGAAACAAAUACCUUCCUGUCUUAUCCAAACUGCCUUGGGAAGGAAGUACAAUCAAAAUGUGGGGCAUUUGGGAUUUUUUCCCCACCAUUAUUUAUUUAGAUGCAAAGACAACAGUGAUGUUACUGGAUCUCUAUGGAGUCACAACGUCGCAAGCCGGCACUUUCUACCUGAAGGCUGAUGCCUAAAACUGUAGACUGGAGUAAAGAAUCUGAUAUUUCCGAGAAAAAAUGGUAUAUGACAAUAUUUUAUUAGCAGAAACAUUCAAGCACAGCAAGGUGCUAAAGCUACAAAGCAGAUUCAAACAACGUUUCUUGAACUUAAAGCAUUUGAAGGACCAGUCCUUCCCUCUUGGUAAGCUGGGAAGAGCAGGUAUCUUCACUGAAUGAUUGCUGGGCUAAAGCAAAGAACUAUUCCUCCCCUGGGCUGCAUCUGUGUAGUUUAUAUACGAACAUGCACAGCAUCCUCAUUGAACAACAGGGUGAAUUUAAAAUUAAGAACAACAAAAACGUGCACAGAUAUCUCAAAUAUUUGGGAAUACCAAAUGAUUGAAGGGCAAGUGAUGCCCUGGAAGCUGAAGUUUAACCAAGUUGCCCAGAUUUCAGUGUAAGAAAAGAGCCUUAAAUUCUUUAAACCUCUGUAUUCAAAGCUUAUCUGCAUUUCAAGUAUUAGAUUUCUAAAAUAAGAAACCACAGCAGGUCCAGCCCUAGAAUUCCCACUCUGCAAUAGUGCUUCUAUGCAUUCACUUUACGAUAAGCCUCUGACCUAGUUUAAUCAUCAUCUGUUACAUCCGGAUCAAAGACCGGCACAUUCUCUGACCCUACAUGCACGAUAUUCUUCAGAGCCUUUAUGUUAUCAGUGCACUUUUGUUGGUUUUCUUUUAUCUAUUAACUGAAAUGGGAAAAAUCAGAUUUGGUUAAGCAAGGUUUUGUUAAAACACGCGUGUAGAACUGAUAAACAUUUCUCUACUUUUUAUUUCAAAUAAAGAUCAAUAACAACA
Molecule: non-coding RNA, 7770 nt
Organism: Coturnix japonica (Japanese quail)
Lineage: Eukaryota; Metazoa; Chordata; Aves; Galliformes; Phasianidae
Source: RefSeq, a predicted model, not a curated record